UCACCGAAAAUCAAGAGUAGCGAACGGGUGAGUAACGCGUGGGUAACCUACCUAUCAGCGGGGGAUAACUAUUGGAAACGAUAGCUAAUACCGCAUAACAAUGUUGGAUGCAUAUUCGACAUUUGAAAGUACCAACUGGUACACUGAGAGAUGGACCCGCGUUGUAUUAGCUAGUUGGUAGUGUAAUGGACUACCAAGGCGAUGAUACAUAGCCGACCUGAGAGGGUGAUCGGCC
RNAcentral lists this ribosomal RNA (235 nucleotides) under Pseudolactococcus raffinolactis. Its description in RNAcentral is "Lactococcus raffinolactis partial 16S ribosomal RNA". It matches the Rfam family "Bacterial small subunit ribosomal RNA", at positions 79 to 309 of the family's 1533-position model. The record is from RNAcentral. Lineage: Bacteria; Bacillati; Bacillota; Bacilli; Lactobacillales; Streptococcaceae.